RNAcentral lists this ribosomal RNA (464 nucleotides) under uncultured bacterium. RNAcentral's name for it is "partial 16S ribosomal RNA". It matches the Rfam family "Bacterial small subunit ribosomal RNA", at positions 339 to 795 of the family's 1533-position model. The record is from RNAcentral.
CUACGGGCGGCACCAGUGGGGAAUAUUGCACAAUGGGCGCAAGCCUGAUGCAGCCAUGCCGCGUGUAUGAAGAAGGCCUUCGGGUUGUAAAGUACUUUCAGCGGGGAGGAAGGGAGUAAAGUUAAUACCUUUGCUCAUUGACGUUACCCGCAGAAGAAGCACCGGCCAACUCCGUGCCAGCAGCCGCGGUAAUACGGAGGGUGCAAGCGUUAAUCGGAAUUACUGGGCGUAAAGCGCACGCAGGCGGUUUGUCAAGUCAGAUGUGAAAUCCCCGGGCUCAACCUGGGAACUGCAUCUGAUACUGGCAAGCUUGAGUCUCGUAGAGGGGGGUAGAAUUCCAGGUGUAGCGGUGAAAUGCGUAGAGAUCUGGAGGAAUACCGGUGGCGAAGGCGGCCCCCUGGACGAAGACUGACGCUCAGGUGCGAAAGCGUGGGGAGCAAACAGGAUUAGAUACCCUCGUAGUC